RNAcentral lists this ribosomal RNA (472 nucleotides) under uncultured bacterium. RNAcentral describes it as "bacterial SSU rRNA". It matches the Rfam family "Bacterial small subunit ribosomal RNA", at positions 329 to 792 of the family's 1533-position model. The record is from RNAcentral.
UGCCAGACUCCUACGGGAGGCAGCAGUGGGGAAUCUUCCGCAAUGGGCGAAAGCCUGACGGAGCAACGCCGCGUGAUCGAAUGAAGGCCUUCGGGUUGUAAAGAUCUGUUGACAGGGACGAAUAAGCAAUGCGAAUAGUUUUGUGUAUGACGGUACCUGUUUAGAAAGCUCCGGCUAACUACGUGCCAGCAGCCGCGGUCAUACGUAGGAUCCGAGCAUUAUCCGGAGUGACUGGGUGUAAAGAGUUGCGUAGGUGGCAUAAUAAGUAGCUAGUGAAAUCUGGUGGCUCAACCAUUCAGACUAUUAGCUAAACUGUUAAGCUCGAGACCGUGAGGGGUAACUGGAAUUUCUAGUGUAGGAGUGAAAUCCGUAGAUAUUAGAAGGAACACCAAUAGCGUAGGCAGGUUACUGGGACGGUUCUGACACUAAGGCACGAAAGCGUAGGGAGCAAACGGGAUUAGAUACCCCAGUA